This is a long non-coding RNA of Paramormyrops kingsleyae, 553 nucleotides long. RefSeq lists it as uncharacterized. Lineage: Eukaryota; Metazoa; Chordata; Actinopteri; Osteoglossiformes; Mormyridae. The record is from RefSeq and is a predicted model, not a curated record.
GGAGCUUUUAUAAGAAUCCUAAGUUAGUUCCUAUUCUUAUUGUUGAUGGUUGACUUAUGGGAUGUUGUGAUCAGCUGAUGUUAAAGCUGCAAUUAUGUGGCUACCCUUUUGGGAUCACAAACGGCCAGCGUCGGACAUUGAACCGGUCAGGGCACAGUGCCACAGAUGUACCAGAAUAAGAGGAGAACAGCUCCGCGCCGAAGCGAACCACCGCAGUAUGGCGCAGUUUGUGUCUCCAGGUGGACAUGGGGCCAUGGCGGUGUGUGUGUCCAUAAUGAGGGUUUUUGUGGGAGCGAGGAGGGGUGGAUGAAGGAGAAUUACAUCUCCGAAAAGAAAUCUGCAGCGGAAUGUUUGCGACAGCUUGCCGGCAGAAGUGCACCAUAUUAGCGACGUCAGAUCGAAUGGCUGAGACUGAUUGAUCGAUUGAUUUCGCGACCCUCCCUUCAUCUCUCCGGAUCGCUUCAUUAGCACCUCGUUGUGUCGGUUGCUGGGGCGCGGCCUGGGAGGUCUCCGUCGCCCGGUGGCGCCCAGACGCGGCACCGGAGCUGCAAAC